This is a non-coding RNA of Coffea arabica (coffee), 534 nucleotides long. NCBI's taxonomy places the organism in Eukaryota, Viridiplantae, Streptophyta, Magnoliopsida, Gentianales, Rubiaceae. The record is from RefSeq and is a predicted model, not a curated record.
GAGAGAAGGGAAGCCGGAGUGGGCGGGUUGACAGCGGAGGGGUGAGAGAUGGAUCUCUUGAGGGAAGAGGGAAGCAAGAGGAAAGAGUCGUUGGUGCCUUGUGGGUCCGUCCGGUAUUGUUGAGUCAGGAAGGAAUCUAAGCCCAAGAUUCCGGCGGAAGCAGCUAUGGUGCUGAGGUAUAUGAGGAGAAGAAGGAAGAGAACGGUGGCUGUGGUGGAGCGACGCAUCUCCAGGAUGUUGAAAGGGGUUAGGGUUUGGGAAUUUGGGAGGAGCUGCGAUCACUCAGUCGACGGAGUAGGAGCAAGGAAGGUGAGAGUUGAAACACUGAAGUCGGUCGAAAGGCGGACAGAGGGACGACUUUCAACUUUCUUCCACUCGCCAACUUGGGCGCUCGCUCUACCAUAAGUUUUUACUCUUCCAUUUCAUUUUUUUUUUUUUUUUUUGAAAGUUCUUUUUUCCCUGGGAAACUGUUGUACGAGUACUUUUUUCCCUUCAUUUACCAGUUGAUCUUAAAUCUUUUUAAUUCCUGCUACA